CAGUAGCCCGGUAAUACGAAGGGUGCAAGCGUUACUCGGAAUUACUGGGCGUAAAGCGUGCGUAGGUGGUGGUUUAAGUCCGUUGUGAAAGCCCUGGGCUCAACCUGGGAAUUGCAGUGGAUACUGGGUCACUAGAGUGUGGUAGAGGAUAGUGGAAUUUCCGGUGUAGCAGUGAAAUGCGUAGAGAUCGGAAGGAACAUCUGUGGCGAAGGCGACUAUCUGGGCCAACACUGACACUGAGGCACGAAAGCGUGGGGAGCAAACAGGAUUAGAUACCCCAGUAGUCCCUGUCUCUUAUACA
This 301-nucleotide ribosomal RNA is filed under the name uncultured bacterium. Its description in RNAcentral is "partial 16S ribosomal RNA". It matches the Rfam family "Bacterial small subunit ribosomal RNA", at positions 509 to 808 of the family's 1533-position model. The record is from RNAcentral.